This 794-nucleotide ribosomal RNA is filed under the name Tricharinopsis herinkii. Its description in RNAcentral is "partial large subunit ribosomal RNA". It matches the Rfam family "Eukaryotic large subunit ribosomal RNA", at positions 87 to 896 of the family's 3401-position model. Lineage: Eukaryota; Fungi; Ascomycota; Pezizomycetes; Pezizales; Pyronemataceae. The record is from RNAcentral.
CUGCGAGUGAAGCGGCAAAAGCUCAAAUUUGAAAUCUGGCGUCUUCGGCGUCCGAGUUGUAAUUUGGAGGGAUAUCUUCGGGGUUGGCGCCGUCCUAAGUUCCUUGGAACAGGACGUCAUAGAGGGUGAGAAUCCCGUGCCUGGAUGGCUGCCCAACUCCAUGUGAAGUGUCUCCGACGAGUCGAGUUGUUUGGGAAUGCAGCUCAAAAUGGGUGGUAAAUUUCAUCUAAAGCUAAAUAUUGGCGAGAGACCGAUAGCGCACAAGUAGAGUGAUCGAAAGAUGAAAAGCACUUUGAAAAGAGAGUUAAAAAGUACGUGAAAUUGUUGAAAGGGAAGCGCUUGCGACCAGACUCGAUCUUUGGUGAUCAGCCGGGCUUCGGUUCGGUGCCCUCACCAUUGAUUGGGCCAGCAUCGGUUCUGACGGCGGGAUAAAAGGAGGAGGAAUGUGGCUCCCUUCGGGGAGUGUUAUAGCCUCCUUCACAAUGCCGCCAGUUGGGACCGAGGACCGCGCUUCGGCUAGGAUGCUGGCGUAAUGGUCUUAAGCGACCCGUCUUGAAACACGGACCAAGGAGUCUAACAUCUAUGCGAGUGUUCGGGUGGAAAACCCUUGCGCGUAAUGAAAGUGAACGGAGGUGUGAACCCUUUACGGGGUGCAACAUCGACCGGUCCUGAUGUCUUCGGAAGGAUCUGAGUAAGAGCAUAGCUGUUGGGACCCGAAAGAUGGUGAACUAUGCCUGAAUAGGGUGAAGCCAGAGGAAACUCUGGUGGAGGCUCGCAGCGGUUCUGACGUGCAA